Fundulus heteroclitus (mummichog) is the source of this 446-nucleotide long non-coding RNA. RefSeq lists it as uncharacterized. The transcript is spliced from 2 exons. Lineage: Eukaryota; Metazoa; Chordata; Actinopteri; Cyprinodontiformes; Fundulidae. The record is from RefSeq and is a predicted model, not a curated record.
GACGGUCUAGCCUUUGGAGCACUUCCUGGUUGCGACACGACGUCAUCACGUCUACCCCAAGCCCGGGGAAAACCAGCACCAGCGCCGAUAAACGACGCAAAAAAAUGGAUAUUGAAUUAUUUUUUUUAUUUACUUGUUAUUGGAGGAGGAGAGUCGGUUUAGCCGGCUUCGGCGGCAGUAAAACCAGCGACGAAUUUUUCUCAGGCUGGAGGAGCGCAGUGGAGAGACAAGGCCGAUGUACCGCUGCAUCAACUUAAAUGCACAACAUCUGCCUGGGAGCCGGUGACAUCAUGGCCCCAUACGAUGAAGUGCAGGACGACAUGCCAGAGGAUGAGGAGGGGGAGAACGUGUUGGAGGCAGUCAGUGGUGCUCCCUGGCGGGACCAGCUGUCUGCCGAGGUGUCUGCCCUGGAGGAGGGUCUACCCGACCACGAUUACAUUUAGAUG